AGUGAACGCUGGCGGCAGGCCUAACACAUGCAAGUCGAACGGCAGCACAGUAAGAGCUUGCUCUUACGGGUGGCGAGUGGCGGACGGGUGAGGAAUACAUCGGAAUCUACUUUUUCGAGGGGGAUAACGUAGGGAAACUUACGCCAAUACCGCAUACGACCUACGGGGGUAAGCAGGGGAUCUUCGGACCUUGCGCGAUUGAAUGAGCCGAUGUCGGAUUAGCUAGUUGGCGGGGUAAAGGCCCACCAAGGCGACGAUCCGUAGCUGGUCUGAGAGGAUGAUCAGCCACGCUGGAACUGAGACACGGUCCAGACUCCUACGGGAGGCAGCAGUGGGGAAUUUUGGACAAUGGGCGCAAGCCUGAUCCAGCCAUACCGCGUGGGUGAAGAAGGCCUUCGGGUUGUAAAGCCCUUUUGUUGGGAAAGAAAAGCAGCAGGUUAAUACCCCGCUGUUCUGACGGUACCCAAAGAAUAAGCACCGGCUAACUUCGUG
This 492-nucleotide ribosomal RNA is filed under the name uncultured bacterium. RNAcentral describes it as "partial 16S ribosomal RNA". It matches the Rfam family "Bacterial small subunit ribosomal RNA", at positions 29 to 507 of the family's 1533-position model. The record is from RNAcentral.